RNAcentral lists this long non-coding RNA (576 nucleotides) under Anas platyrhynchos platyrhynchos (common mallard). RNAcentral's name for it is "lncRNA (ENSAPLG00000021452.1)". Lineage: Eukaryota; Metazoa; Chordata; Aves; Anseriformes; Anatidae. The record is from RNAcentral.
AUGGCAUUUAGAGGCUUAAUCCGGCUUCCAGGAAGGGCAGAAGGAACCUCGCUGUUGACCAGGACGAGACUUGGAGCAGGAGCUCAGCGAGGGCUGCACGGUGCCUUCACCCGUGCUCUGCUGUGCUGUAGGUCUGCAGACAACAGGUCCGUCCUGUUGGAUUCCUGGAAAAAGUCACCUUUGGUGGGCCAUACCACAGGCAUAAAGCCCUGUCAAUUUGGUCUGGCUGCAAGAGACCAGCUAGAGACAGCGUCAUCCAACUCUCACAAAUACAUGUGCCUCUCAAGAUGGCCUAUGCUGGCUGCAGGAGGACAGUCUUGGGGCCACCGCAAGUACAGGCGAUCCAUGCCGCAAGGCUGCACCAUCUGCAGGAGCCUCUGGCUCCAUAGGGACUUCUCACGUGGUGACAAGGAAGAGAAGCAGGAGGGUGCCUAGCAUACUGUGCACAUAGCUUAUAUACAUAGUGGCUGGGCAACCUUCUACCCUCUCCCCAGUUCUCUCUCUUGCAAGAGAAAAUGCUCGAGAUAAAAUACAUCAAGGCAGAGUCCUCCUUCAACUUCCCAGCCUUCAACUCCC